AUUGUGGGUGCAGUUGUGAGCAGAUCCGUAUUGGGCUGGUCUUCCAUUAUCACGACAUUUUGAAUCCUCAUAGUUAGAAUCUCUAGGAUGGGAAUUUUUUCGCACAGGUGUUCAAAACCGAGGUCAAUAUUCGUUGAACAUUUCAAGUAUUCUGACAUUUACACGUUCUUUUGGUAAUGUUGGAAUAUGGGAUUUGCCGUUCACAACGGACGGCAGGCCUUCAAUUGCCGGUUGAAGAUAACCACUCACAGAUAGAUAAGUACCUUGACGGAAGAAUAGGCGAAACGCUUUUUCAUUGUGAAAGUGGCAUGGAUAUGUGAGACCCUUUUCUCUAAAUGUAAUGUGAUGUGAUGUAGGUCAUAUUGCACUGAACAAGGCUCCUGUUCACGGAAACAGAUUCAAACCUUUUAAGCAUCGUCAGACCCUGCGUGGCCAGUGCGUUGAAAAGAAUGGAGUUAACAGAAAAUUUUGCUAGAUAAUUUGAGUUAACAAAGACCAGAUAAAUAUUCUCCGCGACGGCCACGUCACCCCACAAUUGCUACGCAAAAGUGGUCCGAGAAGUGAGGCAUCGUUCAAUCAAGCGAAAGUUAAUCGCUGCUGAUGGUUGACGGCUGUGCGUUGUCGAAUGUUGACAACAAACCUUGAAGCGAUUGUGAGGAGUGACAGUGAUGGAAAAUAGGUUUAGGUUGGGUAAUAGCUGGGUAAGAAAGUGUCCAUGAACUUUGUGGGAGGCGAUGUGCUCAGCUUUUAAGCGUUGUGUUGAUUCCCUCUAAUC
RNAcentral lists this long non-coding RNA (775 nucleotides) under Physcomitrium patens. RNAcentral describes it as "long non-coding RNA (PPAT_LNC002378)". Lineage: Eukaryota; Viridiplantae; Streptophyta; Bryopsida; Funariales; Funariaceae. The record is from RNAcentral.